RNAcentral lists this unclassified non-coding RNA (256 nucleotides) under Diabrotica virgifera virgifera (western corn rootworm). RNAcentral's name for it is "uncharacterized protein K02A2.6-like". The record is from RNAcentral. Lineage: Eukaryota; Metazoa; Arthropoda; Insecta; Coleoptera; Chrysomelidae.
CAAUAUGCUGUUGUUUGUGAAAAAAACUGUAAAUAGUAUUUAAGGCAACGAUUGUGAAUGAGUGAGAAGUCUAAUAAAGCCACGACGAGAUACUGUAUUAGAGCGUACGAUUUGGAGGUAUUUUUGAUUAGAUAAAUUUUGUAAAGUACAAUAUAAGUUAGAUUUGAUAAUGUGUAGUAUUUCCUAAUAAAUUAAAUACUAUUAAGUGUUUAUUGUUCUUGUAAGUUAGUGUGGUAAAUAAAUAAUAUGAAGUAAG